Molecule: ribosomal RNA, 492 nt
Filed under: uncultured bacterium
Lineage: Bacteria
Description: partial 16S ribosomal RNA
Rfam family: Bacterial small subunit ribosomal RNA
Source: RNAcentral
AGUGAACGCUGGCGGUAGGCCUAACACAUGCAAGUCGAACGGCAGCACAGUAAGAGCUUGCUCUUACGGGUGGCGAGUGGCGGACGGGUGAGGAAUACAUCGGAAUCUACUUUUUCGUGGGGGAUAACGUAGGGAAACUUACGCUAAUACCGCACACGACCUACGGGUGAAAGCAGGGGAUCUUCGGACCUUGCGCGAUUGAAUGAGCCGAUGUCGGAUUAGCUAGUUGGCGGGGUAAAGGCCCACCAAGGCGCCGAUCCGUAGCUGGUGUGAGAGGAUGAUCAGCCACACUGGAACUGAGACACGGUCCAGACUACUACGGGAGGCAGCAGUGGGGAAUAGUGGACAAAGGGCGCAAGCCUGAUCCAGCCAUACCGCGUGGGUGAAGAAGGCCUUCGGGUUGUAAAGCCCUUUUGUUGGGAAAGAAAAGCAGCAGGUUAAUACCCCGCUGUUCUGACGGUACCCAAAGAAUAAGCACCGGCUAACUUCGUG